GAUGAAGAACGUAGCGAAAUGCGAUACGUAAUGUGAAUUGCAGAAUUCAGUGAAUCAUCGAAUCUUUGAACGCAUAUUGCGCUCUUUGGUAUUCCGAAGAGCAUGCUUGUUUGAGUAUCAGUAAACACCUCAAAGCUUUUGGAUUUUUUAAUCGAAAAGCUUUGGACUUGAGCAAUCCCGACACCAAUCUUUUUGAGAUCGGUGGCGGGUUGCUUGAAAUGCAGGUGCAGCUGGACAUUCUCCUGAGCUAAAAGCAUAUUCAUUUAGUCCCGUCAAACGGAUUAUUACUUUUGCUGCAGCUAACAUAAAGGGAGUUUGACCGUAUUGGCUGACUGAUGCAGGAUUUCACAAGGGUCGGCAACGAUUCUUGUUAAACUCGAUCUCAAAUCAAGUAAGACUACCCGCUGAACUUAAGCAUAUCAAUAAGCGGAGGA
This 434-nucleotide unclassified non-coding RNA is filed under the name soil metagenome. RNAcentral describes it as "partial contains 5.8S ribosomal RNA, internal transcribed spacer 2, and large subunit ribosomal RNA". The stretch from base 1 to 120 matches the Rfam family "5.8S ribosomal RNA", at positions 35 to 154 of the family's 154-position model. The record is from RNAcentral.